ACGCCACCAUCCCGCCGGGGCCCGAGCUGACGCCGACGGCCUCAUCGUACAUCCCCUCCCAUUUUUCCUCACCACCGGCCGACUCCACAGGCCGCACGCCGCCCUCCUUCCACCGCCCUCUCCUCCUCACGGUCCGACUGCCCCGCCGUGUUCCUCUCCCCAUCUUUUGCACCGCUGCCGCACCCCUCCACCACUCACCACCGC
Molecule: long non-coding RNA, 204 nt
Filed under: Phoenix dactylifera (date palm)
Lineage: Eukaryota; Viridiplantae; Streptophyta; Magnoliopsida; Arecales; Arecaceae
Description: long non-coding RNA (PDAC_LNC022604)
Source: RNAcentral